RNAcentral lists this ribosomal RNA (462 nucleotides) under Acleotrema maculatus. RNAcentral's name for it is "partial large subunit ribosomal RNA". It matches the Rfam family "Eukaryotic large subunit ribosomal RNA", at positions 77 to 514 of the family's 3401-position model. Lineage: Eukaryota; Metazoa; Platyhelminthes; Monogenea; Dactylogyridea; Diplectanidae. The record is from RNAcentral.
CUCUCAAUAACGGCGAGUGAACAGAGAAGAGCCCAGCACCGAAGCCUAUCUGCGUUUGUGGAUAAGGCAAUGUGGUGUUUAGGUGUAUGCCUGGGGUGGUCAGUCUAUCCGAAGUCCAGCAUAGAUUAUGGCUCUGGAUCUGGUCCAAAGCGGGAGAAAGACCCGUCCGGAUAGACUCUUAGGUAUGAUGACCGCCCUCAGAUGCAUUCACUUUGGAGUCGGAUAGCUUGAGAAUGCUGUCCAAAGCGGGUGCUAAACUCCAUCCAAGGCUAAAUACUUGCACGAGUCCGAUAGCUAACAAGUACCGUCAGGGAAAGUUGAAAAGUACUCUGAAGAGAGAGUAAAUAGUACGUUGAAACCGCCUGUAGGAAGCUGGUGGAUCAAGCUGCAUGCCCUUGAAAAUUAAGCAAGGAUUGUUGUGGUAUUGUGGAAUUUGGGGCGAUCCGGUGGUCCUUGUUAAUU